CCAUUUCGCUGUAUGUGGAGAGAUGGUCGACCAUAAAACGUACGUGUGCUUUAUGACGUAUGUCACAUGGUCCACUAAUUCUCAGCAUCAGUCAGCCUGAGG
MicroRNA precursor from Bison bison bison, 102 nucleotides. The record is from Ensembl. Lineage: Eukaryota; Metazoa; Chordata; Mammalia; Artiodactyla; Bovidae.